This 723-nucleotide long non-coding RNA is filed under the name Anas platyrhynchos platyrhynchos (common mallard). RNAcentral describes it as "lncRNA (ENSAPLG00000019177.1)". The record is from RNAcentral. Lineage: Eukaryota; Metazoa; Chordata; Aves; Anseriformes; Anatidae.
AAGACUUUAUUCUCUGAUGGCUCUUAAAGGUGAUCUCCGGAUACUUCCAUGACUGGUGUAAUAAAAUGGAUGCAAGGUUCAGAACAGAGCACAGAGUAGGAGGCUAAUGCAUAGGAAAUAAAGUGCUAGUGCCCUAGUUGCUUUGGUUUGGAAAAAAGACAUUACCUGAAGUUCAUACUUAAACUGGAAUCGAAUGAAGUUUGGGUGAUUAGAUGUGGACAGGUUCCCACAGAGAAGAGCAAGAAGCAUGUCCUACAGAGGAGGUUUUUAAAAAGGAAAGCCCCCAAUACUAAGGAAAGCAACAUCCUCUGCUCUCAAAGGCUGAUGGUUGGCACGUGGAAAGGACUUAUCCUGGAGAACAGUCAGUAUCCCUUGAAAUGUUCACACCUAAGUUCUGAGAACUGCAUUGUUGUUAACUCUGCUUUUGAUGGCUAUCAGCAGGAUUUUACCACUUCUGAACAGAAGGAAAGGUGCACGUACGCAACAAUUUUCAGCGAAAAGGAAAACCGGAAGACAUUACUGUGUUACCGUAACUUGACCCAAGAGCAGAAGAGGCAAAUAUGCAAGCCGUGCCGAAGGAAGCGUGCAUCCCCGUGGGCACCAGGCUGCCGCGUCCGCGGGCUCAGGUGGGAUGAGGCAGUCGGCCCCAGGGACACCAUGCUUGGUGACAGGGCUCGAAACAGCAGCUGCACAAGUGACGAGAGCAUCACCACACAGGUCUGA